UGAAGGCGCAACGUUGACAAAGAUCAAUUUCCGGUAUAAAAACAUAACAAUAUAUUGUGGGAAAGCUCUAUCGAGUCGCGCAGUAUGAAAAUGGAUGAUCCUGCAGCAGUUAAGAGAAUGACAGAAAUAAUUAGAAAGAAAAAACGCCUUUAUGAAUUGAAAAAGCGUUCAAAGUUACCGCGGCCUGUUAGAGGCUAUGAACAAACAAUUGAUGAGGACGAUGAUGAAGAGGAGGAAGACGACUACACUGAGGAGAUUUUUGGUAGCUAUUACGAGGAUAAUGAGGAAAUGAAAAACGGAAACGAACAAACAUCAUUCAGAAGAGGUCAUCUGGCUACAUUCUUUAGAAAUGGAGAUUGUAAUUACAAAGGUCUAACUACUGCCGUCAGCACCAAACAUUUUAAUAAUUUAGAAACUUUAUUGGUAUGGCUAAAUGAUAAAAUACCAACUACAGCUGGUGUUCGAUAUAUAUUUUCAUUACCAAAUGCUAAAUUAGUAAGAGACAUUAGUGAUUUUACAAGAGGAGGAGCAUUCGUUGUAUCGAGUGUAAGGAAGUUUAUUGGUAAAGAUAAUACGACAUUUUUAUUUCUAUAAAAAAUAACUCUUAUCUGUUAAUGAACUAUUUUUUUUAGAUGUUGAUUAUGGAUUUUCAAAGGAAGGACACUGGAAUAAUAGACGGCCAACACCUGCAAAAUUUCGAAAGGGCGAACAAAACCUAUUGGAUUAUGGAUCCAUACAAACUAGUCAGGCGUCGUCAAGAGCGAAUUCGAUUCGUAGUGUUAAUUCGACACCUCGGGAGCUAGUUAUUAUUAGCAACACGAAAAGGUCAUCUAGACAAACUGUUCUAUUAAAUCCAAAGACUAUUCAAGACUUUAAUGAACUAUUGUCUGAUUUGGGGAGUAUGGUAGAUUUAACUUAUCCCCCAGCAAUUGCCUUGUAUACGGCUGAACCGCCUUAUAGGAAUGUCGAAAGCUAUUCUCAAUUGUUGAGAGACCUUAAGCAUAAUACAGCGUUUAUUGUUUGUGGAAGUGAAGGUAUACCGAAAGAGAUUAGUCAAAUUGAACAUGACGCAUCUCGGAUGGUUCCUAAGCAGUCCUACCUUCAGCAGUUCAGAGCCAACAAACAAAAACACAUGUCACCGCCCAUUGACCGUUGGGAGGAUGUAGAAAUGUCAAUGACUGAAGUGACACCACAACCCUACAAUUAUGAAUAUGAAACUAUUAGAGCGGAAAUAAAUGGCGAAGAGCGGGAAUUCUAUUGCCCAAAACGUCUAAAAGACAAACAGGACCUGUCUAAACCUGCUAAGAGACUAAAACUUGAUUGGGUUUAUGGUCUAAAUGCUUUUUCAAGAAACCCACUUCAUGUCCUUUCGACAGGAGAAUUAGUCUAUUAUGUCUCAAAUAUUGCUGUAGUUUACGAUAAAAAGAAAGAUACCCAACGAUUUUUUACCGCACAUACAUCCCCAAUAUGCUGUAUAGCCUUGCAUCCAGAUAAUUUACAACCUUACAUUGCUUCCGGUCAAUCAUUAGAGCCAUUAGUUCGGAUAUGGGAUGCUAGAUCUAUGGCUACCUACAGCGUUGUCGGCGAGGGUAUUCUCCAGGGCAACGUAACAAGCCUCCAAUUAUCGUCAUCCGGUUUACUUCUAAUAGUCGAUUCUUCUGACAAACAUACUCUAUUGAUUUGGGAUUGGCAGAACAAUGAAUUGCUCGUUAGGACGAUGAUAUCGGGAGAGAUUGCGGCUGUAUCAGCUAUUUUUCACCCUCACGAUCCCAGCCUCGUUGUUACAUAUGGACGUCAACAUGUUCACUUUUGGAAAUUAUUCUCUGACGAAGAAAAUACAUAUCGACUGCUUAGAGAUAAGGAAAGUGGUAUAUUUAGUAAUGAAUUUGCUUCGCCUCCUUCCAAUGUUACGGCUAUCUCGUUUUCUCCUAAUGGAGAAGUAAUUACUGCUGAUUCCGAAGGUCGUUUAUUGAUUUGGAGUAAGAAUGAUUCAGAUGUCUAUUCGAUUAAUGAGGAAAUUAGUAAAGAUUUACUAAGAGCUCAUUCCCCAAAGCCAAUUACGGCCUUAUUUAUGUCUGCUGAUGGAACACUCCUAUCGAGCGCAGGAAAUGAGAUCAGAGCUUGGGAUUCGUCGGCUGGUUAUAAUAUGGUCAAAGAACGACUAAUACCCGAAGCAGCGGGGCCUAUUAGAAGUAUAGUUACAAGAGUACAAGGAUCAAUGGACGGUGCAAUAUUUGUGGUUACUGCUAAAUCGUGUCUUCUUGAAGGAUCUCUUCAAGAUAAACUUUCCUUUGUUUUACACGGACACCACAAUCCGGUUACAUCUAUAGUGUCAAGCCCCUCAGAGUUAUCUUUCUUUACCGCUGGUCAAGAUUCUUUUAUUUGCAAAUGGUCUGCUGAUGAUAAAAAAAUGAUAUGGAAAGUCCAUGUUGAGUUUCCUUGCUCCUCCUUGGCAAUCGAUCCAACUGGCCGAGUGUUAUCCGUAGGAACGGGGCAAGGCCGGUUAAUAAUAUUAAGUACCGAUUCUGGUGAACAUUUAUCCUCCUUUCAAGUGUCGCAUGAUCAUCUUGAUUCCAUGGCUUUUUCACCGGAUGGAAAUCGUUUGGCUUUAGCUUGCCAUAAUGCAAGUGUAUAUGUAUUCGACGUUUUAGACGAUGCAGUCGUUUAUAGAAGGAGGGCUAGAAAGGGAAUUCUAGACGGCCAUGAGGCGGCCGUGUUUAAUUUAGAUUGGUCAACAAAUAGUAGAUAUAUUCAAACAGAAUCUAAGGACUUUGAAGUUAUAUUUUGGGAUACUGAUCAAAUGCUCUCGGUAGAUCCCCAAUCUAUAGUUGAGAAUGAAUGGGUGAAGCACAGGUGUACAAUAGGCGCAAGAGUCAUAGGAGCUUGGAAAAAGCUCAUGCCUGAUGUUAAUGUUAGCGCAGCUAACACGAGCAAUGAUAAGAAGCUACUUAUAACUGGAAAUUCUGACGGUUCAUUGCGAUUAUACAAAUAUCCGUGCUCAUCUAAAAAAGCGAAUUUUGACGAAAGGAGACCCUAUUCAGAGUCAAUAAGGGCUAUAGAAUUUUCUUCCAACGACCAAUACGUAUUUACCAUUGGAGGCCGUGAUUGUGGUACUCUUCAAUGGGUUCUAUCAGAUAGUCUUGAAUAUACAUAAUACUUUCUUCCCUUUUUGCUAUUAGUUUCAAAUUAAGUAAUUUAUGAUAAAAAAUUGUUCAUAAACUAAAUAAAAAAAUAGUAACAAACUGAAAAAUUCAUUUAUUUACCAUUAUACAGCAGUGUGUAUAUUUUGCUUUAAAUGGAAGAAUAGAAAUCGUUUCCACUAUGUUCUCUUUUUUAAAGCAUUCAUUAAAGAAUUAAUACUGAGAUGUAUGCAAAGAACAAUUGAUAGUUUUUAUCAAUUAAAAAUUUUCAAGUAAAAAAAUAAACACUGAGAGCUUAAAGAUUAUCAAACAUGACUUCAUGCUCUUCUUUUGAAGUAGAAGCAUGAUUCAUACUUUCCUCCUCUACCCUAUAAACUACUGGAGUAUCUUGUACGUUAUCCCGAUCGAAUACAUGAAUAACGCUUCCUUCGGGAACGCAUGUAAGUGGUGCAACAACUGAAUCGAGAUCCUUUACAGUCGUUUUCGUAAUAUUGUCCUUCGCGACCAAUUCAGAUAUUUUUGGUCUUGGAUUUGGAGCUUUUCCAAUACGAUGUAUUCUAAAUUCAUGUUCUUUCAAUUUAUCUGCUCUUGUACAAGAGAAAUCGCAGUCUUUAAUCGAGCAAAAAUAGGGUCUUUCGUUUGUAUGCACGUACAUGUGUCGCUUGAGAUUCUUUUGUAAGGAAAACGAUUGUCCACAACUAUCACAAAUGUAUGGCUUUUCUUUUGAGUGGGUUUUCAUGUGUCCACUUAAAUUUUGUUUUUUUAUUGUCUGAAAAUUACAAUCUUGAACUGGACACCUUAAUGUUUUACCAGAAUGAACUAGACAGUGAGCUCUUAGUUGGGCGGGAUAAGCUGUUGCGUAGCCGCAAACAUCGCAUAAAUGAGGUUUGUCACCGCUAUGAACUUUAUAGUGAACUUUUAGCUGAUGCUUCCACUUAAAUGCUGAAUUGCAAAUUUCACAGGCGAAUGGGCGAUUAGAUGAGUGUUUAGGCAAGUGCAAUUGUAAUCGUCUAAUUGUAGGGAAACAAGUAGAACAUUCGCGGCACUGGAAUCUAUCAGGGCCUUUAUGAUUGUCUGCUAAAUGUUGUUUUACUUCAUCAACAGAUGAAAAGUCAGCGAAGCAAAAUGGGCACUUAUUUGUGUCGAUAAUAUGAAGCCGCAUAUGCUCAUCCAUAUCAUAUCUUUUCUCGCACACAAAUGAGCAUUCUUCGCAUUGAUAUUUGAUUUUUCUUAAUGAUGGAUCGUCAAUCUCUUCAAUACUGAUUUCUGCUGCCUCACUUCUAUAUCUUAGGACGGGUUCUUCUUUAAUAUUAACUUCUUCUUCACUACUUGAUUUCAUAGUUGGUUUAUGGCGUCUAGAGCUUCUUCUUGUGCCAAUUUGAUCGCAGUCGAUGCGAUUAUCGUUUAUUUUAAAAUCUUUAUCUGAUUCAUCGUCUCGACCUACUCCAAGUUUUGGAUUUACUUCCUCUCCUUUCCUUGGCCUGCCUCUCUUUCUUCUUGCUGGUACAACUCCCAACUCAACAACAGACUUUAAAGGCAAACCGUUUUCAUCAUUUGUAUCAGUUGCAGCAUCAACCGUUUUUGUGAUAGUAUCAAAAAGAUUGUUUCCCUUACAAAUACAUCUUUGAGGAUGUUGCUCAUUAGAUUCAAAGCUCCUACAAAAGUCUACAAUAUGUUUCAAUUCGAGAAUUCCAGCUAACUCUGAAACGAUUCCAACAUUUUUUGAACUAAUCAGUAAUUGACCUCUAUAUAAAAAUUCUACUAAUGAUGCAAGACCCUCCUCAUACUGUAGAGACUUUUCUACGUCCCAAGAAUCUGAAUGAAUUUGUAAAAUUUGCGGGCUCGAGGGAGCGAAUAGUGAGAGAUCAGCCUCAGAAAAGAAAUCUUUAAAGUAGAUGCAAGUAGCUGCCAGUAGAUUGCCAUGAGCGCUUUCAGUAUGAUUAAAGACUUUGAUAAUAACAUCACAGAAAUUAUUAUUUUGUUUUUGCUUCCAUAGAUUAUUGAAAAUUACAUUUUCUGCAUAGGAUAAAUCGACCAAGAAAGACUCCCUGUUGUCCGCCAUCUUUGUUAUCAGUACACAUUACUA
RNAcentral lists this unclassified non-coding RNA (5226 nucleotides) under Dimorphilus gyrociliatus. RNAcentral describes it as "hELP domain-containing protein". Lineage: Eukaryota; Metazoa; Annelida; Polychaeta; Dinophilidae. The record is from RNAcentral.